Molecule: unclassified non-coding RNA, 3548 nt
Filed under: Hevea brasiliensis (rubber tree)
Lineage: Eukaryota; Viridiplantae; Streptophyta; Magnoliopsida; Malpighiales; Euphorbiaceae
Source: RNAcentral
GACGCCAUGUUGAAAGGCUUGGUUAUCUAAAAGGGACUUGUUUGUUUGAUAAAAUAGCGGGCGCAAACAAGCACAUUUCAGAGAUUUAUACACUUUUCCGGCGGGAGUGCGAGUUACACCUAAUAUCCAAAUUGAAAGCAGGUGGCAUAGUUUUCACCGUUCAGAACCUGAAAAUAACUUGGACCGUUUAAAUCCGACACGUUCAAUUUCCCCACCGGAAAAGAAAACAAAAGAGAAGAAAAGGAAACGAAACGACGAAAGUUACACAAAGCUCGCUAAAAAAAAAAUUCCUUCUAAUUUCCCAAAAUGCCCCUGAUCUGUCAAUCUAUCAACCUCUCAGUCUAUUCGAAAUAUUUUUGGUUUUUGUUUAGCCUCUCUUUCUGUCGGUCCAUCUUAAUCUCUGUGCGUUCCUGUUUUUGAUGGAGCCGGAGAGGAGCCAAGAUCGGGGUCUCCCCGAGAGGAAGGGACAGAAGCGGAAAUUGGAGGAAGAGAUUGAAGAGGAGCGGCAAGAGAUCUCGCCGGCGGUCCCCUUCGGCGAUGCGCGGCAAGCGCUUUUAUACGAGGUGGCUGCUCAGGUAAAUAUCCUUAACUCGACCUUCUCUUGGAACGAGGCCGAUCGGGCAGCUGCCAAACGCGCCACUCACGUCCUUGCAGAGUUCGCCAAAAACGAGGAAUUAGUGAACGUAAUUGUUGAAGGAGGUGCAGUUCCAGCUCUGGUAAAGCAUCUUCAAGCGCCGCAGUCAAGUGAAGCUGAUGUUAAUCCAAAGCCGUUUGAGCACGAGGUGGAGAAGGGGAGUGCUUUCGCGCUAGGACUGCUUGCUGUGAAGCCAGAGCAUCAGCAACUCAUAGUUGACGCUGGGGCAUUGUCACUUCUUGUGGACCUGUUGAAGAGGCACAAGUAUGGUUCUAGUUCUCGUGCAGUUAAUAGUGUAAUUAGAAGGGCGGCCGAUGCUAUCACCAAUUUAGCUCAUGAGAACAGUAGCAUUAAGACUCGUGUUAGGAUGGAAGGUGGAAUUCCUCCUCUAGUUGAGUUGCUUGAAUUCAUCGACACAAAGGUGCAAAGAGCAGCUGCUGGGGCACUACGAACCCUGGCUUUUAAGAAUGAUGAUAAUAAAAAGCAGAUUGUUGAAUUUAAUGCUCUUCCCACCCUCAUUCUAAUGCUACGAUCCGAGGAUGUUGCUAUACACUAUGAAGCAGUUGGUGUAAUUGGAAAUCUGGUGCAUUCAUCCCCAAACAUAAAGAAAGAAGUCCUUGCUGCCGGUGCUCUGCAACCUGUUAUUGGUUUACUUAGUUCCUGCUGCUCUGAGAGCCAGAGGGAGGCUGCUUUGUUACUUGGACAAUUUGCUGCAACAGACUCGGAUUGCAAGGUUCACAUUGUACAAAGGGGUGCAGUUCAACCUUUGAUAGAGAUGCUUCAGUCUCCUGAUCUGCAGCUGAGGGAAAUGUCAGCCUUUGCACUGGGGAGGUUGGCACAGGACUUGCACAAUCAAGCUGGUAUAGCUCAUAAUGGUGGGUUGGUGCCAUUACUGAAGCUUCUGGAUUCAAAAAAUGGAUCUCUUCAACAUAAUGCUGCCUUUGCUCUUUAUGGUCUUGCAGAUAAUGAGGAUAAUGUGUCCGAUUUUAUUAGGGUGGGAGGUGUCCAGAAGCUGCAGGAUGGAGAGUUUAUUGUUCAAGCAACAAAAGAUUGUGUAUCCAAGACUUUGAAGCGAUUAGAGGAAAAGAUUCAUGGACGAGUCUUAAACCAUUUGUUAUAUCUAAUGCGUGUAGCAGAGAAGGCUGUCCAACGACGCGUUGCUUUAGCUCUUGCACAUCUUUGUUCCCCAGACGAUCAGAGAACCAUAUUCAUUGAUAACAAUGGAUUGGAGUUACUUCUUGGGCUUCUAGGCUCUGCUAACCCGAAGCAACAAAUUGAUGGAGCUGUAGCUCUCUACAAGUUAGCAAAUAAAGCAAUGACUCUCUCUCCUGUGGAUGCAGCUCCCCCUUCUCCAACACCACAGGUAUAUUUAGGGGAGCAGUAUGUAAACAAUGCUACGUUGUCUGAUGUAACCUUUCUGGUUGAAGGUAGACGGUUUUAUGCCCAUAGAAUUUGCCUACUUGCUUCUUCAGAUGCAUUUCGUGCAAUGUUUGAUGGAGGUUACCGGGUGAGUAUGCUUGUCAGUCUUGGUUUAGAUGCCAUUCAUCAAACACUCCCGUUGGGCCUUUUAUUCGGGAUUGAGGUCCAGGAAGAGUGAAACAGAAGGUUGCUUUUCUUUUGUUGUCUGCCAAAGUACUCUGCAGUUUGAAUUCAUUCAACUGGGAUAAUAUGUUGACUUUUAGUUUGGAUAAUCACAGAGGUCACUAUUCAUCAAAUUAAUUGUGAACCCCAGAGUUGGUCUUCUUGAUGGAUUUGUAGUUUUAAGCAAUAGUUUUGUGCAAGUAGGGAAGGAGGAUCUUGGUUGGGAUGACAUUCAUACGUAAUAUGUGCAUUUUAUUUUAUUUUUCUUUGCACUUGCCACAGGAGAAGGAUGCAAGGGACAUUGAAAUUCCAAACAUUAGAUGGGAGGUUUUUGAGUUGAUGAUGAGGUUUGAUGAAUUGCAAAGUUCAUACUUUAUUAAAGAAGUCUCUCCAGAUUGAUUAUUUAAUUGGUUUUGUUUUCUACAGAUUCAUAUACACAGGAUCAAUAGAUAUUUCAUUAGAUAUUGCACAAGAUCUCCUAAGGGCCGCAGAUCAAUAUCUUUUGGAGGGACUUAAGCGACUCUGUGAAUAUACCAUAGCACAGGAUAUAUCACUGGAAAAUGUUGCAAGCAUGUAUGAACUUUCAGAAGCUUUCAAUGCUAUUUCAUUGAGGCACACAUGCAUUUUGUUUAUCUUGGAGCAGUUUGAUAAAUUGAAUGCUAAGCCCAGGUACAUGCCCCUCUUACUAGGCCAUUUUCCCAUUCUCUUUAGAACAUUGUCUGUGAAUAAGUAUUCCUCAUAUUAGGGUUCAUGUGAUAAGUGUAAACAAUCCUCAAAUAUGUACAUGGAAAGUGGCAAAAUUUAGGAUCAUCAAUCAUCCCUUACACAUCGCAAUUUUUAUAUGCUUUCACCUCCCUAUGUAAGAUCCUUCUGUGAGAUCUCUGUGUAUGGAACAGUGCAAUAGUUCUGUGAGAUCUUAUUCCCUUUGUAGAAUGAGAAAGAACAUUUGUUUUUGGUGGUGGAAAUUUAUUUGUAUGCUGAAAUUUGCAGGCACUCCCAUUUGAUCCAGCGUAUCAUACCCGAGAUUCGGAAUUACUUUACCAAAGCACUUACCAAACUUAACCCACGCAACUUGCGGCUGUAGAUUACUGGUAUUGGAUUCUUGAUGUCUAACUGGAUAACAUUGUACAGAAAAUAGUAGAUCUUCUCAUUCAUGUCGAGCCAUUUGAAGGUUCUAAAUCUAAUAGGCUGGUUAUAUGGCACAUAAUCUUCCCUGAUACCAGAAUGCUGUUUCAUGUGUAUGCAUUGAACAUUGUUUCCAUUUUCUUGGAUGUUGAUGGGGUAUGUUCUCCAUCAACAUUAUUGUUGCCCUGUAUUGUUAUGUAUUCUGUAA